AGAGUUUGAUCCUGGCUCAGGACGAACGCUGGCGGCGUGCUUAACACAUGCAAGUCGAACGAUGAAGCCUAGCUUGCUAGGUGGAUUAGUGGCGAACGGGUGAGUAAUACGUGAGUGACCUACCUUUGACUCUGGGAUAAGCCUGGGAAACUGGGUCUAAUACCGGAUACGACCAAUCUCCGCAUGGGGUGUUGGUGGAAAGCGUUAUGGAGUGGUUUUAGAUGGGCUCACGGCCUAUCAGCUUGUUGGUGAGGUAAUGGCUUACCAAGGCGACGACGGGUAGCCGGCCUGAGAGGGUGACCGGCCACACCGGGACUGAGACACGGCCCAGACUCCUACGGGAGGCAGCAGUGGGGAAUAUUGCACAAUGGGCGCAAGCCUGAUGCAGCGACGCCGCGUGAGGGAUGACGGCCUUCGGGUUGUAAACCUCUGUUAGCAUCGAAGAAGCGAAAGUGACGGUAGGUGCAGAGAAAGCGCCGGCUAACUACGUG
This 491-nucleotide ribosomal RNA is filed under the name uncultured Rothia sp. RNAcentral's name for it is "bacterial SSU rRNA". It matches the Rfam family "Bacterial small subunit ribosomal RNA", at positions 8 to 507 of the family's 1533-position model. The record is from RNAcentral. Lineage: Bacteria; Bacillati; Actinomycetota; Actinomycetes; Micrococcales; Micrococcaceae.